Molecule: ribosomal RNA, 559 nt
Filed under: Pichia ethanolica
Lineage: Eukaryota; Fungi; Ascomycota; Pichiomycetes; Pichiales; Pichiaceae
Description: eukaryotic LSU rRNA
Rfam family: Eukaryotic large subunit ribosomal RNA
Source: RNAcentral
AAACCAACAGGGAUUGCCUCAGUAGCGGCGAGUGAAGCGGCAAGAGCUCAGAUUUGAAAUCGUGUUUCGGCACGAGUUGUAGAGUGUAGGCUGGAGUCUCUGUGGAGCGCGGUGUCCAAGUCCCUUGGAACAGGGUGCCUGAGAGGGUGAGAGCCCCGUGGGGUGCUGCGCGAAGCUUUGAGGCCCUGCUGACGAGUCGAGUUGUUUGGGAAUGCAGCUCUAAGCGGGUGGUAAAUUCCAUCUAAGGCUAAAUAUUGGCGAGAGACCGAUAGCGAACAAGUACUGUGAAGGAAAGAUGAAAAGCACUUUGAAAAGAGAGUGAAACAGCACGUGAAAUUGUUGAAAGGGAAGGGUAUUGGGCCCGACAUGGGGAGUGCGCACCGCUGUCUCUUGUAGGCGGCGCUCUGGGCGCUCUCUGGGCCAGCAUCGGUUCUUGCUGCGAGAGAAGUGGUGCCGGAAAGUGGCUCUUCGGAGUGUUAUAGCCGGUGCCGGAUGUCGCGUGCGGGGACCGAGGGCUGCGACAUCUGUCUCGGAUGCUGGCACAACGGCGCAAUACCGC